This 84-nucleotide transfer RNA is filed under the name Candidatus Woesearchaeota archaeon. RNAcentral describes it as "tRNA-Ser". It matches the Rfam family "tRNA". From Rfam's summary of the family: Transfer RNA (tRNA) molecules are approximately 80 nucleotides in length. Their secondary structure includes four short double-helical elements and three loops (D, anti-codon, and T loops). The record is from RNAcentral. Lineage: Archaea; Nanobdellati; Candidatus Woesearchaeota.
GCCGGGGUGGCACAACCUGGUACUGCGCUAGGCUUGAGACCUAGUUUCCUUACGGAUUUGCUGGUUCGAAUCCGGCCCCCGGCG